AGGCGAAACAGUCCAAUUAAGGGCUGUCCUCCGGGUCUGACUAAUCCGGAGCUGAUGAUGCUAGG
RNAcentral lists this non-coding RNA (65 nucleotides) under Cytobacillus depressus. The record is from RNAcentral. Lineage: Bacteria; Bacillati; Bacillota; Bacilli; Caryophanales; Bacillaceae.